GAGGGUAUAGCUCAGUGGUAGUGCCUGCUUAGCAUGCAUGAGGUCCUGGGUUCAAUCCCCAGUACCGCCA
Molecule: transfer RNA, 70 nt
Organism: Camelus ferus (Wild Bactrian camel)
Lineage: Eukaryota; Metazoa; Chordata; Mammalia; Artiodactyla; Camelidae
Rfam family: tRNA
About the family: Transfer RNA (tRNA) molecules are approximately 80 nucleotides in length. Their secondary structure includes four short double-helical elements and three loops (D, anti-codon, and T loops). Further hydrogen bonds mediate the characteristic L-shaped molecular structure. tRNAs have two regions of fundamental functional importance: the anti-codon, which is responsible for specific mRNA codon recognition, and the 3' end, to which the tRNAs corresponding amino acid is attached (by aminoacyl-tRNA synthetases). tRNAs cope with the degeneracy of the genetic code in two manners: having more than one tRNA (with a specific anti-codon) for a particular amino acid; and 'wobble' base-pairing, i.e. permitting non-standard base-pairing at the 3rd anti-codon position.
Source: Rfam